UCCAGACUCCUACGGGAGGCAGCAGUGGGGAAUAUUGCACAAUGGGGGGAACCCUGAUGCAGCGACGCCGCGUGAGUGAAGAAGUAUUUCGGUAUGUAAAGCUCUAUCAGCAGGGAAGAAGAUGACGGUACCUGACUAAGAAGCCCCGGCUAACUACGUGCCAGCAGCCGCGGUAAUACGUAGGGGGCAAGCGUUAUCCGGAUUUACUGGGUGUAAAGGGAGCGUAGACGGCAGGGCAAGUCUGGAGUGAAAGCCCGGGGCCCAACCCCGGGACUGCUUUGGAAACUGCCAUGCUGGAGUGCUGGAGAGGUAAGCGGAAUUCCUAGUGUAGCGGUGAAAUGCGUAGAUAUUAGGAGGAACACCAGUGGCGAAGGCGGCUUACUGGACUGUAACUGACGUUGAGGCUCGAAAGCGUGGGGAGCAAACAGGAUUAGAUACCCUAGUAA
This 446-nucleotide ribosomal RNA is filed under the name uncultured bacterium. Its description in RNAcentral is "bacterial SSU rRNA". It matches the Rfam family "Bacterial small subunit ribosomal RNA", at positions 330 to 793 of the family's 1533-position model. The record is from RNAcentral.